RNAcentral lists this small RNA (279 nucleotides) under Cordyceps militaris CM01. RNAcentral's name for it is "A. fumigatus sRNA Afu_309". It matches the Rfam family "A. fumigatus sRNA Afu_309". The record is from Rfam by way of RNAcentral. Lineage: Eukaryota; Fungi; Ascomycota; Sordariomycetes; Hypocreales; Cordycipitaceae.
UUUCUUUCUACUUCACAGGAUCUGUGCCAGUCGUCCUCUGCCCCUAGGCGGUGCAGAGUUGAUGUCUGUGCAACUCGAUAACUCAUGGAGCCAUCCACUUGUUAUGAUGUCAAUCUUCCUAUCGACAGGUCCCAGAAUGAUCGGGGGUGUGGUUGCACUGCUCGCCGUCCUUGUGGCGGCAGAGUGGUGAUUCCGGCCAUGCUUCCAAAGCGUUAUACUCCAAACCUUUCUCCUAGGUCGUUGGCCUAUGCGGUUGAGGAAAACCAUGCGUUUACAUUU